RNAcentral lists this transfer RNA (68 nucleotides) under Marmota monax (woodchuck). RNAcentral's name for it is "tRNA.Ala". The stretch from base 6 to 66 matches the Rfam family "tRNA", at positions 6 to 65 of the family's 71-position model. Rfam says of the family: Transfer RNA (tRNA) molecules are approximately 80 nucleotides in length. Their secondary structure includes four short double-helical elements and three loops (D, anti-codon, and T loops). The record is from RNAcentral. Lineage: Eukaryota; Metazoa; Chordata; Mammalia; Rodentia; Sciuridae.
GCAAUUGUGGCUCAGCGGUAGAGUGCUCACCUAGCAAGUGUGAGGCCCUGAGUUUGAUCCUCAGCGCC